GCGCACCAGUCGCGAAUACUUUACAAUGUGCGAAAGCACGAUAAGGGAACUCUGAGUGCCUCCUAAGGAGGCUGUUCAGGUGUCUAAAAGCACCUGAAGGAAGGGCCGGGUAAGACCGGUGCCAGCCGCCGCGGUAACACCGGCAGCCCAAGUGGUAGCCACGUUUAUUGGGUCUAAAGCGUCCGUAGCCGGCUGGGUAAGUUCCUUGGGAAAUUUGGCUGCUUAACAGUCAAGCUUUCAGGGAAUACUGCCCGGCUUGGGACCGGGAGAGGUCAGAGGUACUCCAGGGGUAGGGGUGAAAUCCAUUAAUCCUUGGGGGACCACCGGUAGCGAAGGCGUCUGACCAGACCGGGUCCGACGGUGAGGGACGAAGGCUAGGGGCGCGAACCGGAUUAGAUACCCCCGUAGU
Molecule: ribosomal RNA, 409 nt
Filed under: uncultured microorganism
Description: bacterial SSU rRNA
Rfam family: Archaeal small subunit ribosomal RNA
Source: RNAcentral